This is a long non-coding RNA of Stegostoma tigrinum, 572 nucleotides long. RefSeq lists it as uncharacterized. Lineage: Eukaryota; Metazoa; Chordata; Chondrichthyes; Orectolobiformes; Stegostomatidae. The record is from RefSeq and is a predicted model, not a curated record. The transcript has 3 exons.
UAUUUUAUUUACACGCAUAGUCAAGGCGUGAGUCAGUAAAAUGAAACGAUAAAAAGGCUGCGAUUUUUAAAAUAGCCCUUUAUGUGGAAAGUAAUGUUUUUGUGUAUAAAAAGGUCGGUUGAAGCGGUCCGGCGACAAUCGGUAACCAUGGAGAUUAACAGUACGGUCGCAGAGAACUCCAGGCUGAGGAAUAGACUAUUUAAUGGAGUACAUUGAAAGAGUGUCCCAUCCAACUGGCUGUUCAUCAUAUGUACUUACUGUCAGAUUUCAGUGUGCCCGCUUCUCAUUACGGAACCUGUCUCUACUGGUCAGGAGCUUGGAGAGAGAGCAGGAGCAUCAAGAGAACUGAACAUGGAGAAAACAGGAACCUGAAGACAGUAGGAGCAGAGAGAGAACAGAUCGUGGAAAAAAGCACUAGAGGAGAAUGGGAGAGCAGGAGCAGGUGGGGAGCAGAUCACAUCUGUGACCAAUGUGCUCUUGCCUACUCUUGACCAGAGUUAUUUGGACAGUCACUCAUCUAUACAACUGGCCUGCAUUGCAAAAAAUCCCUCAAUUCUUAGUUUUACCCCAAC